UGGGGAAUUUUGCGCAAUGGGCGAAAGCCUGACGCAGCAACGCCGCGUGUGUGAUGAAGGCCUUCGGGUUGUAAAGCACUGUUCAGAGGGAAGAACAAGCGGGGGUAACGCCUCGCCCUGACGGUACCUCUGAAGGAAGCACUGGCUAACUCCGUGCCAGCAGCCGCGGUAAUACGGAGAGUGCGAGCGUUGUUCGGAAUCACUGGGCGUAAAGGGCGUCUAGGCGGCUUGCCAAGUCAGAUGUGAAAUCCCUCGGCUCAACCGAGGACGUGCAUCUGAAACUGGCGAGCUUGAGUACUGGAGGGGGCAGUGGAAUUCCCGGUGUAGAGGUGAAAUUCGUAGAUAUCGGGAGGAACACCAGUGGCGAAGGCGGCUGCCUGGCCAGAUACUGACGCUGAAGCGCGAAAGCGUGGGGAGCAAACAG
Molecule: ribosomal RNA, 424 nt
Filed under: uncultured bacterium
Lineage: Bacteria
Description: bacterial SSU rRNA
Rfam family: Bacterial small subunit ribosomal RNA
Source: RNAcentral